This 107-nucleotide unclassified non-coding RNA is filed under the name soil metagenome. RNAcentral's name for it is "partial internal transcribed spacer 1". The record is from RNAcentral.
AAAAAUAUAUAACCGGGAGUUCGUUUUUCGUUCUCCCGGGGAUUAUUUGUAUUCAAAUUCCACUCUUUAUAAAUAUAAUAACAAUUAUAAAACAAAAUAAAAAUUGA